AACAUGGGUGCUCCUCCUUCAAAGGCUCUCGUUUUUCUUGGCUUUGCUUUUGCUGCUUUCUUUCUCUUCUCCACCCACGUCUCAGCAGCUCAGACGGAGGAACUAAUUACAGACCUCCACGAGCACGGCCAUGACCAUGGACACGGCCAUUUCGGACAUGGUCAUGACCAUCACGGCGGACAUGGUCCUGGUGGCCACCCAGAUCAUGGAGAUGCCAAUGGAAUUGGGUUUCGCAGUGAUCAUUCUGGACGUGGAGACGAGCAUAGCCUCCCCCGUAUACCAGGCCGCGGAGACCACCAUAAACCCGGCCAUGGACAAGGCGGUCAUCCCGGACAUGGUGCCGCCGGUCAGACUCGUGAUUGAAGAAACUAAAUACUAAAUCUAUGUUGUAAUGAUUAAAUAGUACUGUGUUCUACCAUAGAAAUAAGUUGGUCUCUGCUCAUGCCAUGCAUGGAUCAACAUGGAUGAUUAGUAGAGAAUAAUGAGAGGUUACUCCAAUUAAUGGGUUAUAUUAUCUUUCUUUGUUGUAUCUAUAGCUUUUAUAUAUUAUCACUUCCUUUUCUAAAUCAAUUCCAUGUUGAAAU
This 584-nucleotide unclassified non-coding RNA is filed under the name Carica papaya (papaya). The record is from RNAcentral. Lineage: Eukaryota; Viridiplantae; Streptophyta; Magnoliopsida; Brassicales; Caricaceae.